Molecule: ribosomal RNA, 2921 nt
Filed under: Staphylococcus aureus M0443
Lineage: Bacteria; Bacillati; Bacillota; Bacilli; Caryophanales; Staphylococcaceae
Description: bacterial LSU rRNA
Rfam family: Bacterial large subunit ribosomal RNA
Source: RNAcentral
UUAAGUUAUUAAGGGCGCACGGUGGAUGCCUUGGCACUAGAAGCCGAUGAAGGACGUUACUAACGACGAUAUGCUUUGGGGAGCUGUAAGUAAGCUUUGAUCCAGAGAUUUCCGAAUGGGGAAACCCAGCAUGAGUUAUGUCAUGUUAUCGAUAUGUGAAUACAUAGCAUAUCAGAAGGCACACCCGGAGAACUGAAACAUCUUAGUACCCGGAGGAAGAGAAAGAAAAUUCGAUUCCCUUAGUAGCGGCGAGCGAAACGGGAAGAGCCCAAACCAACAAGCUUGCUUGUUGGGGUUGUAGGACACUCUAUACGGAGUUACAAAGGACGACAUUAGACGAAUCAUCUGGAAAGAUGAAUCAAAGAAGGUAAUAAUCCUGUAGUCGAAAAUGUUGUCUCUCUUGAGUGGAUCCUGAGUACGACGGAGCACGUGAAAUUCCGUCGGAAUCUGGGAGGACCAUCUCCUAAGGCUAAAUACUCUCUAGUGACCGAUAGUGAACCAGUACCGUGAGGGAAAGGUGAAAAGCACCCCGGAAGGGGAGUGAAAUAGAACCUGAAACCGUGUGCUUACAAGUAGUCAGAGCCCGUUAAUGGGUGAUGGCGUGCCUUUUGUAGAAUGAACCGGCGAGUUACGAUUUGAUGCAAGGUUAAGCAGUAAAUGUGGAGCCGUAGCGAAAGCGAGUCUGAAUAGGGCGUUUAGUAUUUGGUCGUAGACCCGAAACCAGGUGAUCUACCCUUGGUCAGGUUGAAGUUCAGGUAACACUGAAUGGAGGACCGAACCGACUUACGUUGAAAAGUGAGCGGAUGAACUGAGGGUAGCGGAGAAAUUCCAAUCGAACCUGGAGAUAGCUGGUUCUCUCCGAAAUAGCUUUAGGGCUAGCCUCAAGUGAUGAUUAUUGGAGGUAGAGCACUGUUUGGACGAGGGGCCCCUCUCGGGUUACCGAAUUCAGACAAACUCCGAAUGCCAAUUAAUUUAACUUGGGAGUCAGAACAUGGGUGAUAAGGUCCGUGUUCGAAAGGGAAACAGCCCAGACCACCAGCUAAGGUCCCAAAAUAUAUGUUAAGUGGAAAAGGAUGUGGCGUUGCCCAGACAACUAGGAUGUUGGCUUAGAAGCAGCCAUCAUUUAAAGAGUGCGUAAUAGCUCACUAGUCGAGUGACACUGCGCCGAAAAUGUACCGGGGCUAAACAUAUUACCGAAGCUGUGGAUUGUCCUUUGGACAAUGGUAGGAGAGCGUUCUAAGGGCGUUGAAGCAUGAUCGUAAGGACAUGUGGAGCGCUUAGAAGUGAGAAUGCCGGUGUGAGUAGCGAAAGACGGGUGAGAAUCCCGUCCACCGAUUGACUAAGGUUUCCAGAGGAAGGCUCGUCCGCUCUGGGUUAGUCGGGUCCUAAGCUGAGGCCGACAGGCGUAGGCGAUGGAUAACAGGUUGAUAUUCCUGUACCACCUAUAAUCGUUUUAAUCGAUGGGGGGACGCAGUAGGAUAGGCGAAGCGUGCGAUUGGAUUGCACGUCUAAGCAGUAAGGCUGAGUAUUAGGCAAAUCCGGUACUCGUUAAGGCUGAGCUGUGAUGGGGAGAAGACAUUGAGUCUUCGAGUCGUUGAUUUCACACUGCCGAGAAAAGCCUCUAGAUAGAAAAUAGGUGCCCGUACCGCAAACCGACACAGGUAGUCAAGAUGAGAAUUCUAAGGUGAGCGAGCGAACUCUCGUUAAGGAACUCGGCAAAAUGACCCCGUAACUUCGGGAGAAGGGGUGCUCUUUAGGGUUAACGCCCAGAAGAGCCGCAGUGAAUAGGCCCAAGCGACUGUUUAUCAAAAACACAGGUCUCUGCUAAACCGUAAGGUGAUGUAUAGGGGCUGACGCCUGCCCGGUGCUGGAAGGUUAAGAGGAGUGGUUAGCUUCUGCGAAGCUACGAAUCGAAGCCCCAGUAAACGGCGGCCGUAACUAUAACGGUCCUAAGGUAGCGAAAUUCCUUGUCGGGUAAGUUCCGACCCGCACGAAAGGCGUAACGAUUUGGGCACUGUCUCAACGAGAGACUCGGUGAAAUCAUAGUACCUGUGAAGAUGCAGGUUACCCGCGACAGGACGGAAAGACCCCGUGGAGCUUUACUGUAGCCUGAUAUUGAAAUUCGGCACAGCUUGUACAGGAUAGGUAGGAGCCUUUGAAACGUGAGCGCUAGCUUACGUGGAGGCGCUGGUGGGAUACUACCCUAGCUGUGUUGGCUUUCUAACCCGCACCACUUAUCGUGGUGGGAGACAGUGUCAGGCGGGCAGUUUGACUGGGGCGGUCGCCUCCUAAAAGGUAACGGAGGCGCUCAAAGGUUCCCUCAGAAUGGUUGGAAAUCAUUCAUAGAGUGUAAAGGCAUAAGGGAGCUUGACUGCGAGACCUACAAGUCGAGCAGGGUCGAAAGACGGACUUAGUGAUCCGGUGGUUCCGCAUGGAAGGGCCAUCGCUCAACGGAUAAAAGCUACCCCGGGGAUAACAGGCUUAUCUCCCCCAAGAGUUCACAUCGACGGGGAGGUUUGGCACCUCGAUGUCGGCUCAUCGCAUCCUGGGGCUGUAGUCGGUCCCAAGGGUUGGGCUGUUCGCCCAUUAAAGCGGUACGCGAGCUGGGUUCAGAACGUCGUGAGACAGUUCGGUCCCUAUCCGUCGUGGGCGUAGGAAAUUUGAGAGGAGCUGUCCUUAGUACGAGAGGACCGGGAUGGACAUACCUCUGGUGUACCAGUUGUCGUGCCAACGGCAUAGCUGGGUAGCUAUGUAUGGACGGGAUAAGUGCUGAAAGCAUCUAAGCAUGAAGCCCCCCUCAAGAUGAGAUUUCCCAACUUCGGUUAUAAGAUCCCUCAAAGAUGAUGAGGUUAAUAGGUUCGAGGUGGAAGCAUGGUGACAUGUGGAGCUGACGAAUACUAAUCGAUCGAAGACUUAAUCAA